RNAcentral lists this ribosomal RNA (497 nucleotides) under uncultured bacterium. RNAcentral's name for it is "partial 16S ribosomal RNA". It matches the Rfam family "Bacterial small subunit ribosomal RNA", at positions 28 to 507 of the family's 1533-position model. The record is from RNAcentral.
GAUGAACGCUGGCGGCGUGCCUAAUACAUGCCAGUCGAGCGAACAGACGAGGAGCUUGCUUCUCUGAUGUUAGCGGCGGACGGGUGAGUAACACGUGGAUAACCUACCUAUAAGACUGGGAUAACUUCGGGAAACCGGAGCUAAUACCGGAUAAUAUUUUGAACCGCAUGGUUCAAUAGUGAAAGACGGUCUUGCUGUCACUUAUAGAUGGAUCCGCGCUGCAUUAGCUAGUUGGUAAGGUAACGGCUUACCAAGGCAACGAUGCAUAGCCGACCUGAGAGGGUGAUCGGCCACACUGGAACUGAGACACGGUCCAGACUCCUACGGGAGGCAGCAGUAGGGAAUCUUCCGCAAUGGGCGAAAGCCUGACGGAGCAACGCCGCGUGAGUGAUGAAGGUCUUCGGAUCGUAAAACUCUGUUAUUAGGGAAGAACAUAUGUGUAAGUAACUGUGCACAUCUUGACGGUACCUAAUCAGAAAGCCACGGCUAACUACGUG